UCAUGGAGAUCGACCCGGUGCAACUGGAUGUGCUGAGAGUGCCGCCCGAGGCCUUGCGUGUGCAGGGAUCUUGGGAGCGCAUCGCCGCUGGCGCACAGAGCAACGACUUUCCCCUGCUCCCAGCUG
This 126-nucleotide non-coding RNA is filed under the name Gambierdiscus australes. The record is from RNAcentral. Lineage: Eukaryota; Dinophyceae; Gonyaulacales; Pyrocystaceae.